Molecule: ribosomal RNA, 253 nt
Filed under: uncultured bacterium
Lineage: Bacteria
Description: partial 16S ribosomal RNA
Rfam family: Bacterial small subunit ribosomal RNA
Source: RNAcentral
UACGGGGGGGGCAAGCGUUGUUCGGAAUUACUGGGCGUAAAGGGUUCGUAGGUGGCCAACUAAGUCAGACGUGAAAUCCCUCAGCUUAACUGGGGAACUGCGUCUGAGACUGGAUGGCUUGAGUGCAGGAGAGGAACGCGGAAUUCCAGGUGUAGCGGUGAAAUGCGUAGAUAUCUGGAGGAACACCGGUGGCGAAGGCGGCGUUCUGGACCGAUAUUGACGCUGAGGAGCGAAAGCCAGGGGAGCAAACGGG